GACAGGGGAUACAAGCGUUACUCGGAAUCACUGGGCGUAAAGCGUCUGUAGGCUUUUCAGAAAGUCUGAGGUCAAAUGUCGGGGCUCAACCCCGUCAACGUCUUGGAAACUACUGAGAUUGAGCAUUGGAGAGGUACCUGGAAUGCCAUGUGUAGGAGUAAAAUCCGUAGAUAUAUGGUAGAACGCCUAAAGUGAAGACAGGGUACUAGCCAAUCGCUGACGCUGAGAGACGAAAGCGUGGGGAGCAAAGGGG
This 253-nucleotide ribosomal RNA is filed under the name uncultured bacterium. RNAcentral's name for it is "partial 16S ribosomal RNA". It matches the Rfam family "Bacterial small subunit ribosomal RNA", at positions 524 to 776 of the family's 1533-position model. The record is from RNAcentral.